AUUGAACGCUGGCGGCAGGCCUAACACAUGCAAGUCGAGCGGAUGAAGGGAGCUUGCUCCUGGAUUCAGCGGCGGACGGGUGAGUAAUGCCUAGGAAUCUGCCUGGUAGUGGGGGAUAACGUCCGGAAACGGGCGCUAAUACCGCAUACGUCCUGAGGGAGAAAGUGGGGGAUCUUCGGACCUCACGCUAUCAGAUGAGCCUAGGUCGGAUUAGCUAGUUGGUGGGGUAAAGGCCUACCAAGGCGACGAUCCGUAACUGGUCUGAGAGGAUGAUCAGUCACAUUGGAACUGGGACACGGUCAAUGCGCCUACGGGACGGAGCAGAGGGGUAUAGUGGACAGCGGGCGGAAGUAUUAUCCAGUCGUGGCGAGUGUGUGAAGAAGGUCUUCGGAUUGUAAAGAACGUUAUGGUGUGGGGAAGGGCAGUAAGUUGAUACCUUGCUGUUGUGACGUUACCAACAGAAUAAGCACCGGCUAACUUCGUG
Molecule: ribosomal RNA, 484 nt
Filed under: uncultured bacterium
Lineage: Bacteria
Description: partial 16S ribosomal RNA
Rfam family: Bacterial small subunit ribosomal RNA
Source: RNAcentral